UGAGCCUGAGGAGCACGCCGCGUGAGUGAUGAAGGUCUUCGGAUCGUAAAACUCUGUUAUUAGGGAAGAACAAAUGUGUAAGUAACUAUGCACGUCUUGACGGUACCUAAUCAGAAAGCCACGGCUAACUACGUGCCAGCAGCCGCGGUAAUACGUAGGUGGCAAGCGUUAUCCGGAAUUAUUGGGCGUAAAGCGCGCGUAGGCGGUUUUUUAAGUCUGAUGUGAAAGCCCACGGCUCAACCGUGGAGGGUCAUUGGAAACUGGAAAACUUGAGUGCAGAAGAGGAAAGUGGAAUUCCAUGUGUAGCGGUGAAAUGCGCAGAGAUAUGGAGGAACACCAGUGGCGAAGGCGACUUUCUGGUCUGUAACUGACGCUGAUGUGCGAAAGCGUGGGGAUCAAACAGGAUUAGAUACCCUGGUAGUCCACGCCGUAAACGAUGAGUGCUAAGUGUUAGGGGGUUUCCGCCCCUUAGUGCUGCAGCUAACGCAUUAAGCACUCCGCCUGGGGAGUACGACCGCAAGGUUGAAACUCAAAGGAAUUUGACGGA
Molecule: ribosomal RNA, 547 nt
Filed under: uncultured Staphylococcus sp.
Lineage: Bacteria; Bacillati; Bacillota; Bacilli; Caryophanales; Staphylococcaceae
Description: bacterial SSU rRNA
Rfam family: Bacterial small subunit ribosomal RNA
Source: RNAcentral